RNAcentral lists this ribosomal RNA (213 nucleotides) under uncultured bacterium. RNAcentral's name for it is "partial 16S ribosomal RNA". It matches the Rfam family "Bacterial small subunit ribosomal RNA", at positions 524 to 729 of the family's 1533-position model. The record is from RNAcentral.
UACAGGAGGGUGCGAGCGUUGUCCGGAAUCACUGGGCGUAAAGGGCGCGUAGGUGGCGCUCCAAGGUCAUGUCGGGUGAAAGCUCGACGCUCAACGUCGAGUCGGCCAUAGAGACUGGAGGGCUCGAGCACUGUAGGGGCAGAUGGAAUUCCGGGUGGUAGCGGUGGAAUGCGUAGAGAGUCCGGAAGAACACCGGUGGCGAAGGCGGUCUGC